UACGUAGGGGGCAAGCGUUGUUCGGAAUGACUGGGCGUAAAGGGUGCGUAGGCGGUGUAGCAAGUUAGAAGUGAAAUACCUAGAGCUUAACUCAGGUGCUGCUUCUAAAACUGCUAUACUUGAGUGCAGUAGAGGAAAGUGGAAUUCCUAGUGUAGCGGUGGAAUGCGUAGGUAUUAGGAGGAACAUCAGUGGCGAAGGCGACUUUCUGGACUGUAACUGACGCUGAGGCACGAAAGUGUGGGGAGCAAACAGG
Molecule: ribosomal RNA, 254 nt
Filed under: uncultured bacterium
Lineage: Bacteria
Description: partial 16S ribosomal RNA
Rfam family: Bacterial small subunit ribosomal RNA
Source: RNAcentral